ACCACUAAGCCUCACCACUGUGCCCUGUAGGAGCCAGACGGGCUCUGGGCUGCCAACUCCCUGUGUACUGCAAUGUGGUUCUGAGGCAGCUGCACUUCUCAGCCCAGGAAAGUGCAGAACUCAGAGUGGCCAAGCCCCAACUGACAGACAGUAGCAGAGAUUCCCUGGCCCUCCCACCCCAUCACUGAAGCCUGAAACUUCCGGCCUUCAUCCCCAUUAAUUCACCAGCUACUGGGCUCCCGGAGUCACGAAGGGCAGUGCACCAUGGAUAUCGAGUUCAGAUGGAACAGGACAUGGCUCCCUGGCAGAACAUCAUCAUAAGAAACAACCCCCUGACGUCUGGAGCCACUCUCCUGCCUCUACGAUAGCUGUCCGCGGCCUUUUUAAGUUAAUCAGGCACCCAGAUGGCAUACCAGGAGAAUGCAAGUCACUGUGACCUUCAGCGCAUGUGGUCCACGUCCACGCUGCCUGGGGAAAUACAGUAACAGGAGAAGGGGCAGGAGACAAUGAGGAGAGAAGUGGCAACAUGAUGAUCUCAAAGCCAAGGCUGACCACUGGGCUCCAGGGACAAGAAUAAACUUUGGAGUGACUGCCUUGUUUUCACUCAGCAAAGUUUGCUGGCUGGAGAUGAGAUAUAAGGCAGAGUUUUGGACUAUUAAUUCAUUGCAUUCUGAGAUAUCUGGAACUCUGAAUAAAGUCCUGUUUUUCAUUUAAAUUUA
Molecule: long non-coding RNA, 719 nt
Organism: Peromyscus eremicus (cactus mouse)
Lineage: Eukaryota; Metazoa; Chordata; Mammalia; Rodentia; Cricetidae
Exons: 3
Source: RefSeq, a predicted model, not a curated record